Molecule: ribosomal RNA, 253 nt
Filed under: uncultured bacterium
Lineage: Bacteria
Description: partial 16S ribosomal RNA
Rfam family: Bacterial small subunit ribosomal RNA
Source: RNAcentral
UACGAAGGGUGCAAGCGUUAAUCGGAAUUACUGGGCGUAAAGCGUGCGUAGGCGGUUUGUUAAGUCAGAUGUGAAAGCCCCGGGCUCAACCUGGGAACUGCAUUUGAUACUGGCAGGCUAGAGUACGGUAGAGGGUGGUGGAAUUCCCGGUGUAGCGGUGAAAUGCGUAGAGAUCGGGAGGAACAUCCGUGGCGAAGGCGGCCACCUGGACCAGUACUGACGCUGAGGCACUAAAGCGUGGGGAGCAAACAGG